RNAcentral lists this ribosomal RNA (506 nucleotides) under uncultured bacterium. RNAcentral's name for it is "partial 16S ribosomal RNA". It matches the Rfam family "Bacterial small subunit ribosomal RNA", at positions 30 to 523 of the family's 1533-position model. The record is from RNAcentral.
AUUGAACGCUGGCGGCAGGCCUAACACAUGCAAGUCGAACGGUAACAGGAAGUAGCUUGCUACUUUGCUGACGAGUGGCGGACGGGUGAGUAAUGUCUGGGGAUCUGCCUGAUGGAGGGGGAUAACUACUGGAAACGGUAGCUAAUACCGCAUAAUGUCGCAAGACCAAAGCGAGGGACUUUCGGGCCUCGCACCAUCAGAUGAACCCAGAUGGGAUUAGCUAGUAGGUAGGGUAAUGGCUUACCUAGGCGACGAUCCCUAGCUGGUCUGAGAGGAUGACCAGCCACACUGGAACUGAGACACGGUCCAGACUCCUACGGGAGGCAGCAGUGGGGAAUAUUGCACAAUGGGCGCAAGCCUGAUGCAGCCAUGCCGCGUGUAUGAAGAAGGCCUUCGGGUUGUAAAGUACUUUCAGUCAGGAGGAAGGGUGUGAAAUUAAUACUUUCAUGCAUUGGCGUUACUGACAGAAGAAGCACCGGCUAACUCCGUGCCAGCCGCCGCCGUAA